RNAcentral lists this ribosomal RNA (256 nucleotides) under uncultured bacterium. RNAcentral's name for it is "partial 16S ribosomal RNA". It matches the Rfam family "Bacterial small subunit ribosomal RNA", at positions 28 to 279 of the family's 1533-position model. The record is from RNAcentral.
GACGAACGCUGGCGGGCGUGCUUAACACAUGCAAGUCGAGCGGUAAGGCCCUUUCGGGGUACGACGAGCGGCGAACGGGUGAGUAACACGUGGGUGACCUGCCCUCCAGCUCUGGGAGUAAGCCUGGGAAACCGGGGUACUAAUACCGGAUAUGACUCCAUGACGCAUGUUGUGGGGUGGAAAGACCUUGUGCGGCUGAGGAUGGGCCCGCGGCCUAUCAGCUUGUUGGUGGGGUGAUGGCCUACCAAGGCGACGA